RNAcentral lists this ribosomal RNA (363 nucleotides) under uncultured Anoxybacillus sp. RNAcentral describes it as "bacterial SSU rRNA". It matches the Rfam family "Bacterial small subunit ribosomal RNA", at positions 1018 to 1382 of the family's 1533-position model. The record is from RNAcentral. Lineage: Bacteria; Bacillati; Bacillota; Bacilli; Caryophanales; Anoxybacillaceae.
UUCGGGGGACAGGGUGACAGGUGGUGCAUGGUUGUCGUCAGCUCGUGUCGUGAGAUGUUGGGUUAAGUCCCGCAACGAGCGCAACCCUCGACCUUAGUUGCCAGCAUUCAGUUGGGCACUCUAAGGUGACUGCCGGCUAAAAGUCGGAGGAGGGUGGGGAUGACGUCAAGUCAUCAUGGCCCCUAUGUCCAGGGCUACACACGUGCUACAAUGGGCGAUACAGAGUGACGCGAAGCCGCGAGGUGGAGCAAAUCGCAGAAAAUCGCUCUCAGUUCGGAUUGGAGUCUGAAACCCGACUCCAUGAAGGUGGAAUCGCUAGUAAUCGCGCAUCAGCAUGGCGCGGUGAAUACGUUCCCGGGCCUU